GCGAAGGUGGCGGAAUUGGGAGACGCGCUAGCUUCAGGUGUUAGUGUCCUUACGGACGUGGGGGUUCAAGUCCCCCCCCUCGCACCA
RNAcentral lists this transfer RNA (87 nucleotides) under Escherichia coli. RNAcentral describes it as "tRNA-Leu". It matches the Rfam family "tRNA". Rfam says of the family: Transfer RNA (tRNA) molecules are approximately 80 nucleotides in length. Their secondary structure includes four short double-helical elements and three loops (D, anti-codon, and T loops). Further hydrogen bonds mediate the characteristic L-shaped molecular structure. tRNAs have two regions of fundamental functional importance: the anti-codon, which is responsible for specific mRNA codon recognition, and the 3' end, to which the tRNAs corresponding amino acid is attached (by aminoacyl-tRNA synthetases). tRNAs cope with the degeneracy of the genetic code in two manners: having more than one tRNA (with a specific anti-codon) for a particular amino acid; and 'wobble' base-pairing, i.e. permitting non-standard base-pairing at the 3rd anti-codon position. Lineage: Bacteria; Pseudomonadati; Pseudomonadota; Gammaproteobacteria; Enterobacterales; Enterobacteriaceae. The record is from RNAcentral. RNAcentral also lists the same sequence under 1 other name.